UAUCAGGCAACUUCUUUCCAUGAAAUUGAGAUCUGUGCGUCUUGAAGCCGAUAGAUUAUCACAGAAAAACCAGCAACCCUAAUUUUAAAUCAUUUGCCACCAGUGUUAAUGGGCGGUUCCUAAUCCGUUUCUUAAUUUAAGGGUUUGUAAAAUCAAAAAACAGCUCAGAAAUGAUACGAUUAACAUAUGUCGGUUUAAGUUGGGUUGAUCUCAAAGUGAAGGAUGGAGAAAUGAAUUCUCUAUUGUCAUAAGGAAAAGGGAAGUCAUGAAGUUAGAAGGGGCUUGUAUCUGAAGGCCUCUGGCCAAUGUGCCUGCUGCCAUUUCCUCUGUCCCUGAGAUCUCCAGAAGAGAAAGGAGCUCCAGCCUUGCAUUCUUUGGGUGUGGAGAGGAGCAGAGCAGAAUGGAGCCUGCAGGUCAUGCCAGGAGUCACGGCAAGGCUGUGGCUGUCAGCUCAGAAUUCCAUCAUCACUUGGGAGAUUUCUGCGAAUCAUCACUAAAGCCAUUCACUUUCUCAUAACUAAACAAGAAUCUUCUUCUGGAGUUAAGUAUCAGAUAUGAAUGUUCUCACUGACCUCAGGAAGCAAAAGUCCUAAAUCAUUAUAUGGCAGUGAAGGUACAAAAAAAAAAAAAAAAAAAAAAUCAGCAGGAAAUAAAGCGGAACUGCUGCCAACACAUACAAGCUGCAGUAGCACCCACAAAAUGUGUAGUAUCCAUUCUAACACAUUCAUUGGACUGAUUACAUUGGCUCAUAGACUUGGUUAACUCUGGAAGAACAUAAUAGGUGUUUAUUGUUUACUAUGGGGAUGGGAAACAUAAUUAAGUCUAUAGUCUCCAAUUCUUCUCAAGUUCAAAUGAAACCAACAAUUUUGGUUUUGUCUUAACAUUCAGGAUGUGUUUCUAAUUAAACUGAAAUCACAGUAA
Molecule: long non-coding RNA, 921 nt
Filed under: Pan troglodytes (chimpanzee)
Lineage: Eukaryota; Metazoa; Chordata; Mammalia; Primates; Hominidae
Description: lincRNA
Source: RNAcentral